Microcebus murinus (gray mouse lemur) is the source of this 966-nucleotide non-coding RNA. Lineage: Eukaryota; Metazoa; Chordata; Mammalia; Primates; Cheirogaleidae. The record is from RefSeq and is a predicted model, not a curated record.
CCAUAAAGCCUAAACUGUUGUGUCAAGUCUUUGCAUUGAAAGGCCUAUCAACAACCAAACUUCCAAUUUUCAAUACAUUCCAAACUUCUCCCUCUAAGACACUGCUGAGGCUUUUUGAGGUAAUUUCUCCCUUGUUAUGUCUAUAUAAUUCAUUCCUAUGCUGCUGGAUACUGGGUUGGCAGUCUCAUGAAACCACUUGGAAAGUUGUCUAGGAAGAACUCCAGAAAUCCUGACUCAGCUCGCCGCUUCUUAUUUUGCAGACUGUUUUUCACAACCCCAUGAGGCCUGUGGUGAAAAUGAGCUCCUGACGGACCCUGGCAGCCUAUAGAUGAACUCAAGUGAACUUUCCUCGUCACCAUGCUGAAGUCUCCACCCUGGGAGGAGCUAUAGCUUCAGGACCACAACGUGAAACCUGUGUGUUACCAUCACAACCCACUAAGUCUGUGCCACUGAGAGGUCCCCCACAUGUGAUGACAUAUCUUCUUCUUUAUCUAUCAUCUCACAAAACUUCUAUACCACUCUCCCUACAGAGACACUGCUUUGGAGAAUACUCCUGGUGCUAUUUUUACUUGUUACAAGUAAUAAAACUCCUACUGAGCACGACCUAUGUUUUCACAAAGAGUUGUCACCAGGCACUCUUUUCAGGUGACAGUCCUUUGUGGAAGACACAAUCUUCGCAAUGUAGAUGAUUCAAGGGCCCUUAGGCAGGCAUCAGAAUAACUUACCUAUAGAUGAUUGGGACAUAAAAUGGCUGCAGUUGAUUUUUUUCAAUCUGAAGAGAGAAACUGAGGCAAAAUUUAUAUAGGUAAAAAGUUUAUUUGGGCCAAAUUUGGGGCUUGCAACCUGGAAGACGCAGAUCCACAUUGCCCUGAAUAUAUGCUCUGAUUAGCAGCCAUUACAAGUGAGCUUUUAAAGGAAAUAAGAAAGGAUAAUUUUUACUUUGGUUCAUUAAAAUAACACAAGCUA